UCAGUCGACUCCUACGGGGAGGCAGCAGUGGGGAAUAUUGCACAAUGGGGGAAACCCUGAUGCAGCCAUGCCGCGUGUGUGAAGAAGGACCUUCGGGUUGUAAAGCACUUUCAGUAGGGAGGAAGGUAGUGUAGUUAACACCUGCAUUAUUUGACGUUACCUACAGAAGAAGCACCGGCUAACUCCGUGCCAGCAGCCGCGGUAAUACGGAGGGUGCGAGCGUUAAUCGGAAUUACUGGGCGUAAAGCGCAUGCAGGCGGCCUGUUAAGUCAGAUGUGAAAGCCCGGGGCUUAACCUCGGAAUUGCAUUUGAAACUGGCAGGCUAGAGUCUUGUAGAGGGGGGUAGGAAUUUCAGGUGUAGCGGUGAAAUGCGUAGAGAUCUGAAGGAAUACCAGUGGCGAAGGCGGCCCCCUGGACAAAGACUGACGCUCAGAUGCGAAAGCGUGGGGAGCAAACAGGAUUAGAUACCCUGGUAG
RNAcentral lists this ribosomal RNA (476 nucleotides) under uncultured bacterium. Its description in RNAcentral is "bacterial SSU rRNA". It matches the Rfam family "Bacterial small subunit ribosomal RNA", at positions 328 to 793 of the family's 1533-position model. The record is from RNAcentral.